GACGAACGCUGGCGGCGUGCUUAACACAUGCAAGUCGAACGGAAAGGCCCUGCUUUUGUGGGGUGCUCGAGUGGCGAACGGGUGAGUAACACGUGAGUAACCUGCCCUUGACUUUGGGAUAACUUCAGGAAACUGGGGCUAAUACCGGAUAGGAGCUCCUGCUGCAUGGUGGGGGUUGGAAAGUUUCGGCGGUUGGGGAUGGACUCGCGGCUUAUCAGCUUGUUGGUGGGGUAGUGGCUUACCAAGGCUUUGACGGGUAGCCGGCCUGAGAGGGUGACCGGCCACAUUGGGACGGAGAUCCGGCCCAGACUCCUACGGGAGGCAGCAGUUGGGAAUAUUGCACAAUGGGCGGAAGCCUGAUGCAGCAGCGCCGCGUGCGGGAUGACGGCCUUCGGGUUGUAAACCGCUUUCGCCUGUGACGAAGCGUGAGUGACGGUAAUGGGUAAAGAAGCACCGGCUAACUACGG
Molecule: ribosomal RNA, 467 nt
Filed under: uncultured bacterium
Lineage: Bacteria
Description: partial 16S ribosomal RNA
Rfam family: Bacterial small subunit ribosomal RNA
Source: RNAcentral